UACGGGGGGGGCAAGCGUUGUUCGGAAUUACUGGGCGUAAAGGGCUCGUAGGUGGCCAACUAAGUCAGACGUGAAAUCCCUCGGCUUAACCGGGGAACUGCGUCUGAUACUGGAUGGCUUGAAUUCGGGAGAGGGAUGCAGAAUUCCAGGUGUAGCGGUGAAAUGCGUAGAUAUCUGGAGGAACACCGGUGGCGAAGGCGGCGUCCUGGACCAACACUGACACUGAAAAGCGAAAGCCAGGGGAGCAAACGGG
This 253-nucleotide ribosomal RNA is filed under the name uncultured bacterium. RNAcentral's name for it is "partial 16S ribosomal RNA". It matches the Rfam family "Bacterial small subunit ribosomal RNA", at positions 524 to 776 of the family's 1533-position model. The record is from RNAcentral.